RNAcentral lists this ribosomal RNA (2763 nucleotides) under Triticum aestivum (bread wheat). RNAcentral describes it as "partial small subunit ribosomal RNA". The record is from RNAcentral. Lineage: Eukaryota; Viridiplantae; Streptophyta; Magnoliopsida; Poales; Poaceae.
AUGGCGGUGUCUUGGCGGCAUUACUUUGUUGUUUGUUGGGAGCAUCGUGCGGGGAGACAUGACUUGAAGGUUUCAUGUUGCGGUUCUUCGGUGCUCGUCGCGGGUCCAGAUAAAUCUUUAUCGGCGCAAUAUCGUGCGUGCGUACGAGCGAGGCCUCCUGCCCUCGAGCGCCUAUUGACACACGCCCUAGAUCAGAUCCCGCCGACGACUGCCCCUCCUCAGCGUCCUCCCGCCGCCCUCCCCUUCGAUCUGAUCUCCUUCGCACCCCGCCGUCGCCGGCGACUCCUCGGCGCCUCGCCGUCGCCGGCGACUCCUCGGCGCCUCGCCGUCGCCGUCACAUCAGACGCCGGCCACUCCUCCACGGCCUCACGCUGUCGUCCUCUCCUUCGCAAGGAACACCCGACCCUUCCUCCGCGGCCUUGUGACGCCGACUACUCCUUCGUGGCCUCACGCCGCCCUCCUCUCCCUCCUUCCUUCAGACUCAACGUCGGCGCAGCAGCAACAGUCCUUGCGACGGUGGGUGCCGGAGCUUGUCAAGCAACUCACCGUCGGCGGCCACGACUACCUCAUUCCCUGCCGUGCGUCUCCGUCAACUACUGUGGCAUUGACGACAGCGAGCUAGGAGCCUACGAGGUAGACGCCCUGUUGACUGUGUCGUCAAGGCCUCCACAUGGCUCCUCUUGCGGCAGACUGCUGGUUGUUUGUCAUGUCCUUGAUCACCCUAAUUUAAUCCAAGUCAGGGUGACCCAGAAGUUCCCUUUCAUCAGCAGUUACAGAGCAUUCAGAGUUCCGAGCUCUGUCGACGUCGCCAGCCUUGUGAAAUGCCAACUCGUCGCUUCUUUCGGUGGUAAUUCUCGAUUCUUUGCACCCUUACAUGCAGAUUCAGAGAUGAGUGUCAAAUUCUUCAGACAAGUUCUGAGACAGAGCAAGAUCCUUACAUACUACUUGUGUGCAGCUGACGGGAAACACGUAGAUGUUACUGGACUGCAAUUACCCGGCGUGCUGGAUGACAUGUUUGCAUACACAGGACCGCUCGGUGCGGUUUUCAGCAAGGACUCUGUGAGCCUGCACCUUUGGGCUCCUACAACACAGGUUUGGCUUCUAAAGACGACACAUUUUACCAUCUCAAGUGUCGCCUCCGGUUCUGUACUAUUCCCGCUUAUAUGUAAAAUGUCCCCAAUAUAUCUUGCAAGAUGUGAGUGUGUGGUUCUUGGAUGGUUCGCCGGCCCUGCUCUAGAGACGGUGCAGCUCAAGGAGUCAAAUGCUGGUGACCUUUAUGCUAGAGGCCUUUCUGCAAAUGGAGCGCGAACCUGGUUGGUUGACAUUAACAAUGAAACAUUGAAGCCAGCUUCCUGGGAUGAAUUGGCCGAUGAGAAGCCAAAACUUGAUUCCUGCUUUGACAUAACCAUCUACGAAUUGCACAUUCGUGAUUUUAGGCCUCGGCAGGAAUGUUUGACUCAUGUGCAUUUGUUGCCAAGCUUUCAUUUUGCUGGCGUUGACGACAUUAAGAGCAACUGGAAAUUUUUCGAUGAGUGUGAACUAGCAACAUUCCCUCCAGGAUCAGAUAUGCAACAAGCAGCAGUAGUAGCUAUUCAGGAAGAGGACCCUUUUAAUUGGGGAGAUGCAGACGAGAGGAAGAGAGCCUCCCCCAAGCUAUGUCUAGGCGAUGCACAGGCGACGGCCACCCUUCCUGUUAUUGCCUCCAUGGCUGACUGCUCAUCCUCAGUAACCUCCCCCCCUCACGUGCGCCACACUCUGGGAUUAAGUUUAUCAAUCAUGCAAUUUGUUGUUAGCAACAUGUACCAGAUUUUGAUAGGUGAAUUAUCGCAAGUUAGUCCCGUGUUGAUCAUCUUCAAAGAACAGAAAACGUUGCGAGCCGAAUGCGUCAUCGACGAGGAGGUGAGUUUGGAUUUGGACGGUGAAGAUGAGAAGAUAGUUGGGGAGGAAGAAGGUGGUGGCAUAAAUGGGGUGGUUGUGCUGCAUGUCCAAGGCUGCACUAGGGAGGCGCGAGCGGUGCCUCCCGCAAGAUUCCAUUGGGGCGACGCAUGGGCGGCAGCCACCCCCAAGACCCUGCAUGUUGCAACCACUAACAAGUCCAGUCACCAUCACAUGUUUACUGCGUGGAUUCCAUAUUUGUCACAAUAUUGGCAUAAUCGACAUGUAUCGUUCUCCGCCGCCCUCCCAUCGAUCUGCGGCCGAUCCCUGCGGAGCUUCCCUUCCCAAUCCGAUCUGACGGAGAGAGUGCCAGAUCCGGCCGGGAGAGCCGCUGUAGAGCCUCCACGUCGGUGGAGCAGCACCUCCUGCCACGGGCGCCGCCGCCACCUCCUGCCUCACGACCCUUUGCCGCGACUCCGCCCCCAAGCGCCGCUCCCGCACGCAACCCGAACCCUAUCCCGCCAUGCUUCGCUGCCUCGCCGCUUGAACCGCGCUGAUGGAGCCCGAGCAGCGGUGGCCGACCCCGUCGCCGCCGCCGAGCCUGUGGACGAGGAGAAGGAGAAGGAGGAGGAGACAGAGGCGGCCGAGGACGAGGAGGACACGCUGCUGGACCGCGCGCAGCCUGAUCUCACGGGUCCCUUUGCACAUGUGCAGUUCGUCAAUGGACCAAUGCCUAAUCUCCCCAAGGUUGAUGUUUCACUGGACCCGGUGAAGGAGUUGAGCAGACCAGGUUAUUUUACGAGGGUUGUGUGCACUGAACCCCAUUUCUCUGGACCAAGGGACGAUGAACAAGAUGGGAAUGAGGAGGAUGCUACUAAUCCGGAGUAG